This 279-nucleotide ribosomal RNA is filed under the name uncultured bacterium. RNAcentral describes it as "partial 16S ribosomal RNA". It matches the Rfam family "Bacterial small subunit ribosomal RNA", at positions 334 to 609 of the family's 1533-position model. The record is from RNAcentral.
AGGCCCUACGGGGCGCAGCAGUGAGGAAUAUUGGUCAAUGGGCGGGAGCCUGAACCAGCCAAGUCGCGUGAGGGAAGAUGGUCCUAUGGAUUGUAAACCUCUUUAGGCGGGGAGCAAUGCCGGGCACGUGUGCCCGGAGGGAGAGUACCCGCAGAAUAAGCAUCGGCUAACUCCGUGCCAGCAGCCGCGGUAAUACGGAGGAUGCGAGCGUUAUCCGGAUUUAUUGGGCUUAAAGGCUGCGUAGGCGGAUUUUUAAGUCAGCGGUAAAAUGUCCGGGCU